Molecule: ribosomal RNA, 238 nt
Filed under: Pseudomonas putida
Lineage: Bacteria; Pseudomonadati; Pseudomonadota; Gammaproteobacteria; Pseudomonadales; Pseudomonadaceae
Description: partial 23S ribosomal RNA
Rfam family: Bacterial large subunit ribosomal RNA
Source: RNAcentral
CUCUGGUGUUCCGGUUGUCACGCCAGUGGCAUUGCCGGGUAGCUAUGUUCGGAAGAGAUAACCGCUGAAAGCAUCUAAGCGGGAAACUUGCCUCAAGAUGAGAUCUCACUGGGAUCUUGAAUCCCCUGAAGGGCCGUCGAAGACUACGACGUUGAUAGGUUGGGUGUGUAAGCGCUGUGAGGCGUUGAGCUAACCAAUACUAAUUGCCCGUGAGGCUUGACCAUAUAACACCCAAGCA